Molecule: ribosomal RNA, 682 nt
Filed under: uncultured marine bacterium
Lineage: Bacteria
Description: bacterial SSU rRNA
Rfam family: Bacterial small subunit ribosomal RNA
Source: RNAcentral
GUAGAUAUCUGGAGGAAUACCGAUGGCGAAGGCAGCCAUCUGGCCUAAUACUGACGCUGAGGUACGAAAGCAUGGGGAGCAAACAGGAUUAGAUACCCUGGUAGUCCAUGCCGUAAACGAUGUCUACUAGCCGUUGGGGCCUUUGAGGCUUUAGUGGCGCAGCUAACGCGAUAAGUAGACCGCCUGGGGAGUACGGUCGCAAGACUAAAACUCAAAUGAAUUGACGGGGGCCCGCACAAGCGGUGGAGCAUGUGGUUUAAUUCGAUGCAACGCGAAGAACCUUACCUGGCCUUGACAUACUAAGAACUUUCCAGAGAUGGAUUGGUGCCUUCGGGAACUUAGAUACAGGUGCUGCAUGGCUGUCGUCAGCUCGUGUCGUGAGAUGUUGGGUUAAGUCCCGCAACGAGCGCAACCCUUUUCCUUAUUUGCCAGCGGGUCAUGCCGGGAACUUUAAGGAUACUGCCAGUGACAAACUGGAGGAAGGCGGGGACGACGUCAAGUCAUCAUGGCCCUUACGGCCAGGGCUACACACGUGCUACAAUGGUCGGUACAAAGGGUUGCUACCUCGCGAGAGGAUGCUAAUCUCAAAAAGCCGAUCGUAGUCCGGAUCGCAGUCUGCAACUCGACUGCGUGAAGUCGGAAUCGCUAGUAAUCGCGGAUCAGAAUGCCGCGGUGAAUACGU